Molecule: ribosomal RNA, 226 nt
Filed under: uncultured bacterium
Lineage: Bacteria
Description: partial 16S ribosomal RNA
Rfam family: Bacterial small subunit ribosomal RNA
Source: RNAcentral
ACGUUGUUCGGAAUCACUGGGUUUAAAGGGCGCGUAGGCGGACUGUCAAGUCGGUGGUGAAAUCUUUCGGCUCAACCGGAAAAUCGCCUUCGAUACUGGCGGCCUUGAGGGAGGUAGGGGCAUGCGGAACUUCCGGUGGAGCGGUGAAAUGCGUAGAUAUCGGAAGGAACACCGAUGGCGAAAGCAGCGUGCUGGACCUUUUCUAACGCUGAGGCGCGAAAGCCAG